UGCAUAAAUCUGAAGUCAAAUAAAAAAACCACAACAAGAAAUGUAGGAAAAUUAUUGUAAUUCAUAUCAACAGGAUAAAAAAUAAACCCAAUACACAAGAACGAUCACAAACUUAUUGUAUUCGGAGGUUAGAGAAUUUAUUGGCGGUGGCAUGAUAAGGGAGUCUAUGAUGGUGAGAUGUGUCAUACGGAUGGAUUUGAUGCGGAGGGAACAACCAAAAGAGGUAGUGUUGCACAAUUCGUCCUCCACAACAUACAUGUGUGCGUAGUUUUCAACGAACAACAUUGAUGUACGCAAAAAGAAUAAGUGAGGCAAGCAUGACGAUAGAGAAUGUGGUGAGGGCAUUGAAGGACCACCUCACCAUCCUCCAUUUAGAUUUGAACAAAAACAAAACACUUUUACUUCAAAUAUGUACAAAACCUCAACACUUCCUUCAUAUUUGAACAAAAACUGCACCAUCCUCUGAUAUGAGCAGAGGAAUAAAAGCUUCAAAAUGCCUUGAAUUUGAGGUCAAGGUAGCCUCCUAAUAAAGAUAAGUUUAC
Molecule: long non-coding RNA, 542 nt
Filed under: Glycine max (soybean)
Lineage: Eukaryota; Viridiplantae; Streptophyta; Magnoliopsida; Fabales; Fabaceae
Description: long non-coding RNA (GMAX_LNC003073)
Source: RNAcentral